GACAAUAUCAUAUUGAAAGACCGGUUCCCAUACAAUCCCUGAAGUUAAGCAACAUUUGAGCCUGUUCAAUACCUAGAUGGGUGACCACUUGGGAAUACCAGAUGCUGUAAG
This 111-nucleotide ribosomal RNA is filed under the name Acanthosepion pharaonis. Lineage: Eukaryota; Metazoa; Mollusca; Cephalopoda; Sepiida; Sepiidae. The record is from RNAcentral.